GGAUUACAGGCUCUCGCCACCACACCCGGGCUGGGAAGUUCAAGAUUGGACAGCUGCAUCUGGUAGCUUCUGGUGAGGGCUUUGUGCUGCAUCAAAACAUGGCAGAGAAAUGGAAGGCGGACCAGGUGCAUGGGGGAAAGGAGGAAAACAUGAGACGCGACCUUGCUUGAUGACAACCCAACUCUAAAGCUCUCAGAUCGUAUGACUUGUGUUUUAGAAAGAUUCCUCUGGCGAGAGGACUGCCCUGAAGCAGGGGAGCUGGACUUUGUCUGCUGGAGUGUGGGAAGUGGCUGCGGCGGGAGUUGGCCACAGCAGAGGCACAAUAUAUUUGUAGUUAACUCAUGCAACUUCCACCUUGCAGGCUCAGCCAAAAAACAAACGGAAAAAAAGAAUGUGAGAAAAAUUAAUUCAUGUAAUUAAAAAACGAUCCAAAAGUA
Macaca mulatta (Rhesus monkey) is the source of this 437-nucleotide non-coding RNA. NCBI's taxonomy places the organism in Eukaryota, Metazoa, Chordata, Mammalia, Primates, Cercopithecidae. The record is from RefSeq and is a predicted model, not a curated record.